UUGAUCCAGCGAGGCGCCCAUUGCCGCUCCCGAUUGGGCUAAAGGCUUGCAAUUGUUCCUGCACGCUAAGUGCCUGGGUUCAUCCUCAUCAAGCUGGGUUCCACGGUUCUCUUCAUGACCCGCAGCUUCUAACAGAGCUAUAAAACUCUGUGCAUGGCCCAAGAUUCCAUUCCUUGGAAUCUGUGAGGCCAAGAACCCCAGGUCAGAGAACAGGAGGCUUGCCACCAUCUUGGAAGUGGCUCGCCACCAUCUUAGGAGCUCUGUGAGCGGAGACCCCCACCCCCCGGUAACAUUUUGGCGACCACGAAGGGACCUCCAAAGCGAGCUAGGGAGAUACCUGUGCCAACUCUGGCUUUGUUUGCUCUGCCAGACAAUCCUGAUGCUGCAAAGUCAAAUCAUCGUGAAGGAAGUUUGUGCAAAUGUGGGAAACAGGACUAUAAUCCUGCUUGAAGUUUGCUUAGAUUCCUGGGAAGUCUCCCUAUUCCAACCCUUUUUGAGAAAUGCCCACAGCUCAUAACCUACCUGAGGUUAUUUGGGUCUCAGGAAACACACAGCAUGUGCCAAUGUUCCAAGAAUGAAGCUCUGGUUCCCAGCUUCUGCUGCUCCAACUUCUAUAGCAGCAAGGAGAAAAGAGUAACAGACAUACUGAUCACAUCUAAUUAGAAGGUAAGAAGUAUUCCCUUGAGCAUGUUUAUGACACAGGCACAAUAGGACAGGAGUAGUCUAUUCAAGCGGGUUCCUCAAUCUCAGGACUACUGACAUUCUGGAGAGAAACAUUCUUUGUGUCGGGGGAUGGGGGCUGUUCUGUGCAUUUCAAAAGCUUCUUUGGAUUCUUUCCACUAGAUGUCAAUAGCAUCCCUCCCACCACUGUGGCAAUCCACAACAUCUCCAAACAUCACUAAUAUCCCACAGGGAGAAAAUUUUUCCGGAUUUAGAACCACUGUACUAAGGGAAAAUUAAAACUAGAAAUUUGUAAUUGGUCAGCAUUAUAUACUGAAUGCAUGAAGUAUAAGUAGUCUACAUAGUGAAAAAAUAA
Homo sapiens (human) is the source of this 1036-nucleotide long non-coding RNA. RefSeq lists it as uncharacterized. NCBI's taxonomy places the organism in Eukaryota, Metazoa, Chordata, Mammalia, Primates, Hominidae. The record is from RefSeq and is a predicted model, not a curated record. The transcript is spliced from 3 exons.